Molecule: long non-coding RNA, 295 nt
Filed under: Mytilus galloprovincialis (Mediterranean mussel)
Lineage: Eukaryota; Metazoa; Mollusca; Bivalvia; Mytilida; Mytilidae
Source: RNAcentral
AUUAAUCUUGCGUUUACUUCUUCACAAAUCGACUUGUGGUUUACAUUUUGCAAGGCAGCUUGUAUAUUUUUUUGAAUUGCAACCACGCUUCGUAUAAAUAUUCUGUACUAUUAUAAUUGUGACAUGAUAUUAUAAAGUUAAAGUCCAUUCUCCUUAAAUUAGAGUUGACGAAUCUGUCAUCGUGUAAUAUCUUUAUACCUAAUUUCUGUGCAACUAAUGACACAUACACAUCGUCAAGAAAUAUCGGUUUCAUAUAAGGAAAUGCUAUUCUCAAUUUUCGUACUACAUUUAUCUG